GUGAAUCAUCAAAUUUUUGAACGCAAAUUGCACUCUCCUCGGAGAGUAUGCCUGUUUGAGAGUCAGCCUAUUAAAACUCGACAUCGUUGCUGAUUAGCGGUGACGUUCGUCGGAAAUUGGGUCAUCUUAAAUCCUAUUGGUUUUAAGAGACUUAAAAUUUUCUUUUUGGUUCCAUGAACGUUCCUAAGAUUUAUUUCUUUACACGUUUAAGGGUAUAGAUUUUUAUUAGACGUGACCAUCAUAUCGGAUCGCGUCCAUAAUCUUUCAUUAACUGAC
RNAcentral lists this unclassified non-coding RNA (276 nucleotides) under Glomeraceae sp. Its description in RNAcentral is "partial contains 5.8S ribosomal RNA and internal transcribed spacer 2". The stretch from base 1 to 65 matches the Rfam family "5.8S ribosomal RNA", at positions 84 to 154 of the family's 154-position model. The record is from RNAcentral. Lineage: Eukaryota; Fungi; Glomeromycota; Glomeromycetes; Glomerales; Glomeraceae.